GUUCCGGUGGCUAAGUGGUUAGAGCGUCCGCCUCAGAUGCCGUAGGUCGUGAGUUCAAUACCCGAUCGAGUCA
Molecule: non-coding RNA, 73 nt
Organism: Potamilus streckersoni
Lineage: Eukaryota; Metazoa; Mollusca; Bivalvia; Unionida; Unionidae
Source: the annotation of a GenBank genome assembly